This 76-nucleotide transfer RNA is filed under the name Thermoproteota archaeon. RNAcentral's name for it is "Crenarchaeota archaeon (sediment metagenome) tRNA-Pro". It matches the Rfam family "tRNA". Rfam says of the family: Transfer RNA (tRNA) molecules are approximately 80 nucleotides in length. Their secondary structure includes four short double-helical elements and three loops (D, anti-codon, and T loops). The record is from RNAcentral. Lineage: Archaea; Thermoproteati; Thermoproteota.
GGGGCCGUCGUUUAGCCUGGGCGAAGAUGCCGGCUUGGGGCGCUGGUGAUCCGGGGUUCAAAUCCCCGCGGCCCCA